This 773-nucleotide ribosomal RNA is filed under the name Diplostyla concolor. RNAcentral's name for it is "SSU rRNA". It matches the Rfam family "Eukaryotic small subunit ribosomal RNA", at positions 993 to 1784 of the family's 1831-position model. The record is from RNAcentral. Lineage: Eukaryota; Metazoa; Arthropoda; Arachnida; Araneae; Linyphiidae.
GAGGCCCGAAGGCGAUCAGAUACCGCCCUAGUUCUAACCAUAAACGAUGCCAGCCAGCGAUCCGGCUGCGUUCCUCAAAUGACGCGCCGGGCAGCUUCCGGGAAACCAAAGCUUUUGGGUUCCGGGGGAAGUAUGGUUGCAAGGCUUAAACUUAAAGGAAUUGACGGAAGGGCACCACCAGGAUUGGAGCAUGCGGCUUAAUUUGACUCAACACGGGGAAACUCACCCGAACCGGACACAGGAAGGAUUGACAGAUUAAGAGCUCUUUCUUGAUUCUGUGGGUGGUGGUGCAUGGCCGUUGCUAGUUGGUGGAGUGAUUUGUCUGCUUAAUUGCGUCAACGAACGAGAUUCUAGCCUGCUAAAUAGGCGUUCCGAUCCUUCGAGUCGGACGCUCUUCUUAGAGGGACAAGCGGCGUUUAGCCGUACGAGACAGAGCUAAAACAGGUCUGAGAUGCCCUUCGAUGUCCGGGGCCGCACGCGCGCUACAUUGAAGAAAUCAGCGUGUGCUUUCCCUGUCCGACAGGAUUGGGUAACCCGUUGAACCUUCUUCGUGCUGGGGAUAGCAACUUGCAAUUAUUUUGCUUGAACGAGGAAUUCCCAGUAAGCAUGAGUCAUCAGCUCAUGUUGACUAUGUCCCUGCCCUUUGUGCACACCGCCCGUCGCUACUACCGAUUGAAUGGUUUAGUGAGGUCUUCGGACUGGCGCUCGGAUUGGCUUUCGGGUCGAGCCGACGUGCCGGAAAGAUGACCAAACUUGAUCAUUUAGAGGAAGUA